CCUACGGGUGGCAGCAGUGGGGAAUAUUGCACAAUGGGGGAAACCCUGAUGCAGCGACGCCGCGUGAGUGAAGAAGUAUUUCGGUAUGUAAAGCUCUAUCAGCAGGGAAGAAAAUGACGGUACCUGAGUAAGAAGCCCCGGCUAACUACGUGCCAGCAGCCGCGGUAAUACGUAGGGGGCAAGCGUUAUCCGGAUUUACUGGGUGUAAAGGGAGCGUAGACGGCAGCGCAAGUCUGGAGUGAAAUCCGAUGGCUGAACCAUGGAACUGCUUUGGAAACUGUGCAGCUGGAGUGCAGGAGAGGUAAGCGGAAUUCCUAGUGUAGCGGUGAAAUGCGUAGAUAUUAGGAGGAACACCAGUGGCGAAGGCGGCUUACUGGACUGUAACUGACGUUGAGGCUCGAAAGCGUGGGGAGCAAACAGGAUUAGAUACCCCUGUAGUC
This 440-nucleotide ribosomal RNA is filed under the name uncultured bacterium. Its description in RNAcentral is "partial 16S ribosomal RNA". It matches the Rfam family "Bacterial small subunit ribosomal RNA", at positions 338 to 795 of the family's 1533-position model. The record is from RNAcentral.